UGGGGUAGAGCUCAGGGGCAGAGCACAUGCUCGGCAUGCGCUAGGUCCUGGGUUCAAUCCCCAGUACCUCCA
This 72-nucleotide transfer RNA is filed under the name Camelus bactrianus (Bactrian camel). It matches the Rfam family "tRNA". From Rfam's summary of the family: Transfer RNA (tRNA) molecules are approximately 80 nucleotides in length. Their secondary structure includes four short double-helical elements and three loops (D, anti-codon, and T loops). Further hydrogen bonds mediate the characteristic L-shaped molecular structure. tRNAs have two regions of fundamental functional importance: the anti-codon, which is responsible for specific mRNA codon recognition, and the 3' end, to which the tRNAs corresponding amino acid is attached (by aminoacyl-tRNA synthetases). tRNAs cope with the degeneracy of the genetic code in two manners: having more than one tRNA (with a specific anti-codon) for a particular amino acid; and 'wobble' base-pairing, i.e. permitting non-standard base-pairing at the 3rd anti-codon position. The record is from Rfam by way of RNAcentral. RNAcentral also lists the same sequence under 1 other name. Lineage: Eukaryota; Metazoa; Chordata; Mammalia; Artiodactyla; Camelidae.